This 524-nucleotide long non-coding RNA is filed under the name Populus tremula. RNAcentral's name for it is "long non-coding RNA (PTRE_LNC002430)". Lineage: Eukaryota; Viridiplantae; Streptophyta; Magnoliopsida; Malpighiales; Salicaceae. The record is from RNAcentral.
UACAAACAAGCACACAUCUCUUUUUAUUAUUUAUUUUUCUUCUUUUUUCUUUUACAUUCACAUAUUACAAAUUUAAAAUAAAUAAACAAAAAUUACAUUAAAACUUUAAAAUUUACAAAAUGGUCCCUAAAAACUCCAGAAAUUGCAGGGAAGGACUCCUGGGGGCUGCGUGAACAGUUCCGGCGCGUGGACCCACGCGCCGCCGCAAGAAAAACCCAACAGCAAGGGGCUGGAUCGACUCCCUCUUCUCAGCCUCCCAACGCCGGCGGUGAGGACCGCCGUUACCUACAAUAACAGAAAAAGCACAACACAGUCGAUUUUAAUUUUUGUUUUUUCAUUUUGCAGAGCUGCUUCGGUUUUUCUUCUUCUCGGUUUCGGUUCUAAAUUCUUUCCCCAGAUCGGUCUGUUAUGGGUUUCUUCUUCGUCUCCGGUGGUAGAUCGUCGUGGAGGAGGAGCUGUGGGUGGUCGAUUGAAGCAGGAACCCGGCGGCGGUGCUGAGGAGUUCGGGUCGGUGGCGAUGGAGA